Molecule: long non-coding RNA, 238 nt
Filed under: Elaeis guineensis (African oil palm)
Lineage: Eukaryota; Viridiplantae; Streptophyta; Magnoliopsida; Arecales; Arecaceae
Description: long non-coding RNA (EGUI_LNC079657)
Source: RNAcentral
AGCUACUUGCCUCAUUAUCCUUUAAGGGGCCCUUCUAGCUCCUUAUCAGCCCCAAAGGUUAAUUUAAAAUGAUUUUUUCUGCUUGUUUCUUUGAUUCUUUUACUCAACACCUCACAAUUUUGAAUUUUCUCCGAAAAACAAAAUUACAUACAGCUCCUUUCUUUUAAUUUCUGUAACAAGUAAUUCGAUCUAUGAAUAAUAUAGAAAUUUACUAAAUUCCAGAUACAUAAGCUCCAAC